RNA transcript from Clupea harengus (Atlantic herring), 1321 nucleotides. RefSeq lists it as uncharacterized. The record is from RefSeq and is a predicted model, not a curated record. NCBI's taxonomy places the organism in Eukaryota, Metazoa, Chordata, Actinopteri, Clupeiformes, Clupeidae. The transcript has 3 exons.
GCCAAGGACAGUUCACAGGCUGACAGAGGUAAUAUAACCUCUCAAACUCGCCCCCAUGCUUGUGGGCCUCCUGAGCAGAAUGAGUCCAUGGUCUGCAAGUACAAAUAUUUUCACAACACUGACGCGUGCUCUCAUUUAUCUUCUGAGUCCUUGAUACUGUCAUCUGAAAUGUCCUCCAGUUAACCAAAGACAAACAUGCCUAUUUGUCAGGUUGUCCAAAACAGAUAUAAAACAUCUUUCAUUGAAAAAAACUGAGCACAGAUCUUGGUCCACAGGUCCCUUUAGAGCUGCUUAAGGUGCUGAUUCUACUCUGUGGCACUAUGAAUCCAGCCUGGUCCCUCAGUGCCUUGCUUCUCGGGUGUGUCUUUGGAUUCCCCAUCAGCUUCAACAGUACACACAAUGAUACAAGAAGUGAGAAUGACUGGAACACAAACGGAACCAACUCAACAGGGUAUGUGCAAUAUCUGAUUUGGCUAUAAACAACACCAUCAUGAUUACUACGUGAGUGCUUUGUCUUUUUUGUUUUGUUUUGUGUUUUUUGCUGUGACAAGCUGGGAAGCUUUCUUUACAUUAUAGUUUAUUGUAUAUUUCCGAACUGGUGGAGAGAAAUGUUAUGUUGAAUAAAUCACAUAAAUGUUCUUUUAGCAGGUUGUCUUUUGUUUUCUCCGAUGCUGGAAGGUAAGUUAGACAGUUUCUGCUUCUACAUCUACUUCAUCUAUAUACUUACAUAAAGAUUAGCUUUAAAUUAUAUUAUCUUUAUCCUGUUUUAUGGUUUCUUUGGUUUAUUUUCAGUUUUUUUGUUUCUCUUACAGUUAUCAUGGCCCAUCUGGGUAAGUACAAACUUGAUAUAUUUUAUUUUCUCCACUUUAAAGUGUCCACAUACUAAAAGUUACAUUAGCUUGUAUAAUUGUCUUGUAUUUCCAAAUUGAAUUUAUGUGCAGGUUCAUUUCUGAAAAUCAAGCAUGUACUGCUGCUGGAAACAUGAUAACGUUGUCUAAUGGAUAUACAGCUGAUUCUGAGAAGAUGCUUGCCAAUCAUCGUAGCUGUCUUUUUUUUCUUCUUCUUUUUAGUGCUGGAGGAUGCAUGCUACCCACCUGUGCACUAAGUAACCUGGGAAAUCUUCUGAGCUCAGGAGAUGAAAUAGCUGGCAGCUCAACCUCAGAUCCCCAUGGAAUCGGAAAAAAAUGAAUUACAGAGGCCUAGGAUGCAGUUGAACUAUUUACCUGCUGCUGUAUUGGGCUGUUAGACAGGGGAACUACACAUUUCUAUUUGAUGUCUAGUGUAAUGGUCAGUUGUGGUGUUGAUAAAUUGAUAAAAUGUA